AAAGCACUGUUCUCAAAGUUAAUGC
This 25-nucleotide non-coding RNA is filed under the name Cricetulus griseus (Chinese hamster). The record is from RNAcentral. Lineage: Eukaryota; Metazoa; Chordata; Mammalia; Rodentia; Cricetidae.